Molecule: long non-coding RNA, 1117 nt
Organism: Salvelinus namaycush (lake trout)
Lineage: Eukaryota; Metazoa; Chordata; Actinopteri; Salmoniformes; Salmonidae
Exons: 4
Source: RefSeq, a predicted model, not a curated record
UGUAAGCAACCUUUCACCGAUCACACCGGACUCCUACCCUAGUUAUCCCACUUCUGUAUUUUGGACUCUCAGUCUCUCUGAAACCCCCCCCAAAAACACACAGAACUAAGUGAUUCAAUACACAAAGAGUUAUUAUUUCGGUUAUAAUUUUCACAUCACUUUGCAAUAAUGAGUGGGAAACCACUUCUUGUGAACGUGGACGAAUGGAUUGCAGAGAACGAAAAGGCCUUUUUACCACCAGUGUGCAACAAACUCAUGCAUUUUUGUCAGCUGAACAUCGUGUUUGUCGGAGGUCCCAACAAAUGAUUAACACAUAGAGGAAGGGGAGGAGACCAUUCUGUAUGGGCCCGGGCAGACAGAGGUUUGUAAACGAGAAACUGAUGUCUGGUUAUGGCAGCAGGAGGGAUCCCCCCCAUGUGACUCUGGAUGGCCAAGAGUUCCCUCAGUCCACAGGAGACAGUCUACUCAUUCCGGGACAUAGCCAGUGAGUGGGAUGAUGAGUGUGGUAAUAAGAAAAGGAAAUGGAAGAUAGAGUGGAUAUGUGCAUGUUUGUGAAUUGCCCCAAUAAAUAAUGGCUUUAGAGAAAGAAUGUUGUAUUCAAGUAACACAAGAAGAAAGAGGUUGUCAAUCAUACAGUAGAUGCUAUUAUUUUGUGGUUUGCUAGAGGAAUACGUUUGAAUUUCUGUUUGUAUGAUUCUGACGCUGCCGGUACCAGUGGAGGGGAGAAUUUCCCUGUUUGUCACUCAAAACCCAGGGAGGAAACGUGCAUGACCUCUGACGAGCCCACUCUCUGCUGCGACGCACAAGGAAAAAGGAGGGUCAGCGAAAGAGAUUGCAUGUUCUUUUGCUACAGAGAGCGUGAUUGUAACCCUGAGUCAUAAAUGACGUUAAAGAUUAACACUCUGUAAGGAACUCAAAGAAAAGAUUUGGGUAGGUGUUGAGUAAAAGAGGAAGUCAAGCAAACUGUAAUAGAACAUCUUGACAAAUAAACGCAACAAUAUGAUUAACGCAACAAUAUGCUUUCGGAAUUAAACCAUUUCAUGAACACCUGAAUCAGUGUUGAUAUGUAUCCAAACUGAAUUGUACAUUUGUACAAUUUGUACAAGUGUUCAUAAAU